RNAcentral lists this microRNA precursor (86 nucleotides) under Drosophila ananassae. RNAcentral's name for it is "mir-981 microRNA precursor family". It matches the Rfam family "mir-981 microRNA precursor family". The record is from Rfam by way of RNAcentral. Lineage: Eukaryota; Metazoa; Arthropoda; Insecta; Diptera; Drosophilidae.
CCUCACUGAAGCCGGGUUUCGUUAACAGCGGGCUGUCAUUUCGAAAUCAACAAGUUCGUUGUCGACGAAACCUGCAUGCUGUGUGG